UACGUAGGGACCGAGCGUUGUCCGGAAUCAUUGGGCGUAAAGAGCGUGUAGGCGGCUACUUAAGUCCUGCGUGAAAUCCUGCGGCUCAACCGCAGGCGGUCGUGGGAAACUGGGUGGCUAGAGUGCGGGAGAGGAGAGUGGAAUUCCUGGUGUAGCGGUGGAAUGCGCAGAUAUCAGGAAGAACACCCGUGGCGAAGGCAGGUCUCUGGGCCACUACUGACGCUGAGAAGCGAAAGCAUGGGGAGCGAACAGG
This 253-nucleotide ribosomal RNA is filed under the name uncultured bacterium. Its description in RNAcentral is "partial 16S ribosomal RNA". It matches the Rfam family "Bacterial small subunit ribosomal RNA", at positions 524 to 776 of the family's 1533-position model. The record is from RNAcentral.